RNAcentral lists this ribosomal RNA (820 nucleotides) under uncultured Actinomycetes bacterium. RNAcentral's name for it is "bacterial SSU rRNA". It matches the Rfam family "Bacterial small subunit ribosomal RNA", at positions 335 to 1167 of the family's 1533-position model. The record is from RNAcentral. Lineage: Bacteria; Bacillati; Actinomycetota; Actinomycetes.
ACUCCUACGGGAGGCAGCAGUGGGGAAUAUUGCACAAUGGGCGCAAGCCUGAUGCAGCGACGCCGCGUGAGGGAUGACGGCCUUCGGGUUGUAAACCUCUUUCAGUACAGACGAAGCGCAAGUGACGGUAUGUACAGAAGAAGCACCGGCCAACUACGUGCCAGCAGCCGCGGUAAUACGUAGGGUGCGAGCGUUGUCCGGAAUUACUGGGCGUAAAGAGCUCGUAGGUGGUUUGUCGCGUUGUUCGUGAAAACCGGAGGCUCAACCUCUGGCGUGCGGGCGAUACGGGCAGACUGGAGUACUGCAGGGGAGACUGGAAUUCCUGGUGUAGCGGUGGAAUGCGCAGAUAUCAGGAGGAACACCGGUGGCGAAGGCGGGUCUCUGGGCAGUAACUGACGCUGAGGAGCGAAAGCGUGGGGAGCGAACAGGAUUAGAUACCCUGGUAGUCCACGCCGUAAACGGUGGGUACUAGGUGUGGGUUUCCUUCCUUGGGAUCCGUGCCGUAGCUAACGCAUUAAGUACCCCGCCUGGGGAGUACGGCCGCAAGGCUAAAACUCAAAGAAAUUGACGGGGGCCCGCACAAGCGGCGGAGCAUGUGGAUUAAUUCGAUGCAACGCGAAGAACCUUACCUGGGUUUGACAUGCACAGGACGUGUCUAGAGAUAGGCAUUCCCUUGUGGCCUGUGUGCAGGUGGUGCAUGGCUGUCGUCAGCUCGUGUCGUGAGAUGUUGGGUUAAGUCCCGCAACGAGCGCAACCCCUAUCUUAUGUUGCCAGCGCGUAAUGGCGGGGACUCGUGAGAGACUGCCGGGGUCAACUCGGA